AGAGUUUGAUCCUGGCUCAGGACGAACGCUGGCGGCGUGCUUAACACAUGCAAGUCACGGGGGUCCGCAAGGACAACCGGCGAACGGGUGCGUAACACGUGAACAACCUGCCCUCGGUGUGGGGGAUAGCCGGGCUAACGCCCGGGUAAUACCGCAUACGUUCUCGGUUGGGGAGUCCUGACGAGAGGAAAGCUCCGGCGCACGGGGAGGGGUUCGCGGCCUAUCAGCUUGUUGGCGGGGUAAUGGCCCACCAAGGCGACGAUCUGUAGCUGGUCUGAGAGGACGACCAGCCACACUGGAACUGAGACACGGUCCAGACUCCUACGGGAGGCAGCAGUGGGGAAUUUUGGACAAUGGGCGCAAGCCUGAUCCAGCAAUGCCGCGUGCAGGAUGAAGGCCUUCGGGUUGUAAACUGCUUUUGUACGGAACGAAACGGCGAGCUCUAAUAAAGUUCGCUAAUGACGGUACCGUAAGAAUAAGCACCGGCUAACUACGUGCCAGCAGCCGCGGUAAUACGUAGGGUGCAAGCGUUAAUCGGAAUUACUGGGCGUAAAGCGUGCGCAGGCGGUGAUGUAAGACAGAUGUGAAAUCCCCGGGCUCAACCUGGGACCUGCAUUUGUGACUGCAUCNCUAGAGUACGGUAGAGGGGGAUGGAAUUCCGCGUGUAGCAGUGAAAUGCGUAGAUAUGCGGAGGAACACCGAUGGCGANGGCAAUCCCCUGGANCUGUA
Molecule: ribosomal RNA, 729 nt
Filed under: uncultured bacterium
Lineage: Bacteria
Description: bacterial SSU rRNA
Rfam family: Bacterial small subunit ribosomal RNA
Source: RNAcentral